AAUGUANGUUGUCUUAUCGCUUCAUAUUUUGAAGAGGAAAGUCCGGACAAUAUAGGGCAUUAUACUUCCUAACAGGAAGGUCUCUUGUGAGAACAGAUAGUGCAACAGAAAAUAUACCGCCUCCUUAGAGGUAAGGGUGAAAAGGUAGUGUAAGAGACUACCGAUUAAAUAGUGAUAUUUAAUGCAUUGUAAACCUUAUAAAUUGAAAGAUCAAAUAGUUCGAUUGUAUUUAUACAUUUAGUUGCCCGCUAAAAAUUCGAACGGGUAGAUCGCUUGAGCUUGAUAGUGAUAUCGAGUCUAGAUAAAUGAUAAGAGUCUGAUGAAUUUCAGAUACAGAAUCCGGCUUAUUAACUUACACUUUUU
This 363-nucleotide RNase P RNA is filed under the name Flammeovirgaceae bacterium. RNAcentral describes it as "RNase P RNA component class A". It matches the Rfam family "Bacterial RNase P class A". From Rfam's summary of the family: Ribonuclease P (RNase P) is a ubiquitous endoribonuclease, found in archaea, bacteria and eukarya as well as chloroplasts and mitochondria. Its best characterised activity is the generation of mature 5'-ends of tRNAs by cleaving the 5'-leader elements of precursor-tRNAs. Lineage: Bacteria; Pseudomonadati; Bacteroidota; Cytophagia; Cytophagales; Flammeovirgaceae. The record is from RNAcentral.